This 256-nucleotide ribosomal RNA is filed under the name uncultured bacterium. RNAcentral describes it as "partial 16S ribosomal RNA". It matches the Rfam family "Bacterial small subunit ribosomal RNA", at positions 521 to 776 of the family's 1533-position model. The record is from RNAcentral.
UAAGACGUAGGAUGCAAGCGUUGUCCGGAAUCAUUGGGCGUAAAGAGUUCGUAGGCGGUAUGUAAAGUCUGGUGUUAAAGCCUGAGGCUCAACCUCAGUUCGGCAUCGGAUACUUACAAACUAGAGUGCAAUAGAGGUAGGGGGAAUUCCUAGUGUAGCGGUGAAAUGCGUAGAUAUUAGGAGGAACACCGGUGGCGAAAGCGCCCUACUGGGUUGUAACUGACGCUGAGGAACGAAAGCCAGGGUAGCAAAUGGG